GCGCGAUGAUUUUCUGUGAUUAUCCGGCGGAAUACAACCCGAAGACCCACGGACCUCACGAUUCUGUCCGUUACUAUGGCAAGCCGGAUACGCC
Aedes aegypti (yellow fever mosquito) is the source of this 94-nucleotide non-coding RNA. NCBI's taxonomy places the organism in Eukaryota, Metazoa, Arthropoda, Insecta, Diptera, Culicidae. The record is from Rfam.